UUACAUUCUAGCCCGUCGCCACACGGAGCAUCAUCCUUCCGACCGCACGACUCUCCCUCGCCAAGGCUGCACACAAGACAGCAGUUGCAGUGGUCGGGCACAUACCCGCUCGGACAGCUCGGGCUCGGACAUUUACUCACAUCACACCUGGAUGAACAUUUCGUCUUCGGCUCGGCCACGGCGAGGUCCUGCGCAAAGAGCAUUGUUGCUGCAAACAGAAUGACCAGCAUUCCCUUUUCAGUUUUCAGAACUUAUGCAACCCCCAUCAGUUUCAUCUAACAGCCACAUGAGGGUGUCAGUGAAUCUUGUGUUCCUGCUUCAAUUCCAGAAUCUGUUCUUUUUUGCAGACUCUUUGCCAAUGUCAAAAAGAUGCUGUCCACCUGGUCCCCUUUGCGACCUUUGGCUGAAGUAAGAUAAAAAGACAUUCCAUGGACUUCGGCCAAAUGACGAGCCUGCUCGAUUAACACAGAUGUAGUCGUCGAAGUGACCAGAUCGGCCUUGUUGCAAACAAGGGCCCGGGGUAUAUCUGGCCCAAGAGAGUGCUGACGGCACUCGUCCAUCCA
This is a long non-coding RNA of Ctenopharyngodon idella (grass carp), 563 nucleotides long. RefSeq lists it as uncharacterized. The record is from RefSeq and is a predicted model, not a curated record. The transcript is spliced from 3 exons. Lineage: Eukaryota; Metazoa; Chordata; Actinopteri; Cypriniformes; Xenocyprididae.